CGGAAGGUUACCUCGGUAGUUCAGAGACACUCUUACCCAGCCCCCGGGGCCUACGAGCAGGAGAGGGAAGGAGGCCGGCCUGCUCAUCAGCCAGCCACGGCCUUGAAGGACGACGGAGGGAAGUGAGCCUCUUUUUCCUCGGAGUAUCCUUAGGAUUGCAGCUACAGACACCAAACACCAACUCCAGGAACCGGGCCCACUGACUACAGCACCCUGCCUAGGCUGCCAACAUGAAUAGAUCCCAACCGCCACACUAUUACGCUAAAGCCAGAGGCUGCCCCGCAUACCUACAAAUCCUGCUGGCUAAGAAGUUUCAGUUCACUUCAGGUGUGGCUGAAAUUUUCCCUUCAGUCAGGCUCCUCAACCAUUGCAAUCUCCAUGUGUGAAGAUUUGAGGCCUACAGAGGCAAGGCAGCUUGGCAGGAAGGGAUCCCUCAGAGCAGCAUUCCUCAACCUGGGCCCCUCUAGAUGCUGUAAAUUACAAAUCCUAUUGUCCCUGCCCAUUGACCUUGUUUGCUGGGAGUUGUAGUACAACGUUCUGGAGGAAUACAAAAUGUGGAAGCCUG
Molecule: long non-coding RNA, 565 nt
Organism: Elgaria multicarinata webbii
Lineage: Eukaryota; Metazoa; Chordata; Lepidosauria; Squamata; Anguidae
Exons: 4
Source: RefSeq, a predicted model, not a curated record